This 619-nucleotide ribosomal RNA is filed under the name uncultured bacterium. RNAcentral's name for it is "bacterial SSU rRNA". It matches the Rfam family "Bacterial small subunit ribosomal RNA", at positions 202 to 842 of the family's 1533-position model. The record is from RNAcentral.
GAAAGCCCCGACGGCGCGGGAUGGGGUCGCGGCCCAUUAGGUAGUAGGCGGGGUAGAGGCCCACCUAGCCGACGAUGGGUAGCCGGACUGAGAGGUCGAUCGGCCACAUUGGGACUGGGAUACGGCCCAGACUCCUACGGGAGGCAGCAGUGGGGAAUUUUGCGCAAUGGGGGAAACCCUGACGCAGCAACGCCGCGUGCGGGACGAAGGCCCUCGGGUCGUAAACCGCUUUCAGCAGGGAAGACCUUACGACGGUACCUGCAGAAGAAGCUCCGGCUAACUACGUGCCAGCAGCCGCGGUAAUACGUAGGGGGCGAGCGUUAUCCGGAUUCAUUGGGCGUAAAGCGCGCGUAGGCGGCCGCCUAAGCGGAACCUCUAACCCCGGGGCUCAACCUCGGGCCGGGUUCCGGACUGGGCGGCUCGAGUGCGGUAGAGGAGAGCGGAAUUCCCGGUGUAGCGGUGGAAUGCGCAGAUAUCGGGAAGAACACCGAUGGCGAAGGCAACUCUCUGGGCCGUCACUGACGCUGAGGCGCGAAAGCUGGGGGAGCGAACAGGAUUAGAUACCCUGGUAGUCCCAGCCGUAAACGAUGGGCGCUAGGUGUGGGGGGAUCCCCCCUCC